RNAcentral lists this unclassified non-coding RNA (68 nucleotides) under Tranquillimonas alkanivorans. Its description in RNAcentral is "suhB". The record is from RNAcentral. Lineage: Bacteria; Pseudomonadati; Pseudomonadota; Alphaproteobacteria; Rhodobacterales; Roseobacteraceae.
ACCUGUUCCGCCAAUAGUUUCCUCCCUGGAAGGGCCGCCCCGAGGGGCGGCCCUUUUCAUUCCAUACA